Molecule: long non-coding RNA, 200 nt
Organism: Gadus morhua (Atlantic cod)
Lineage: Eukaryota; Metazoa; Chordata; Actinopteri; Gadiformes; Gadidae
Exons: 2
Source: RefSeq, a predicted model, not a curated record
CACUUACGCCACCCAGCGUUGUUCACCAGGCAGUCCAGCUGUCCGUAGAGCUGCACCGUGGCCUCAAUGAGUCUCUGGAGCAGAACCACACACACACACACACACACACACACACACACACACACACACACACACACACACACACACACACACACACACACACACACACACACACACACACACACACACACACACACACA